Pelobates cultripes (western spadefoot toad) is the source of this 205-nucleotide non-coding RNA. The record is from the annotation of a GenBank genome assembly. Lineage: Eukaryota; Metazoa; Chordata; Amphibia; Anura; Pelobatidae.
GUUAAUCUUGACGUUAGAGAUCCUUCCAUAAAGUUCAAAUUCUCGCAUAAUGUUGGGUAGGGUUGUCUCAGCUAAAGAGACAAAGAAGAUCAGGUCAUCUGCGUACGCAGCCACCUUAUGUGUUGAGGGUCCUGACAUGAUUCCUUUUAUAUCUGGGUUUCUCUGAAUUGCCUGUAAAAACGGUUCCAGGGCCAAGACAAACAGC